RNAcentral lists this ribosomal RNA (468 nucleotides) under uncultured bacterium. Its description in RNAcentral is "partial 16S ribosomal RNA". It matches the Rfam family "Bacterial small subunit ribosomal RNA", at positions 28 to 507 of the family's 1533-position model. The record is from RNAcentral.
GACGAACGCUGGCGGCGUGCUUAACACAUGCAAGUCGAACGGAAAGGCCCUGCUUUUGUGGGGUGCUCGAGUGGCGAACGGGUGAGUAACACGUGGGUAACCUGCCCUUGACUUUGGGAUAACUUCAGGAAACUGGGGCUAAUACCGGAUAGGAGCUCCUGCUGCAUGGUGGGGGUUGGAAAGUUUCGGCGGUUGGGGAUGGACUCGCGGCUUAUCAGCUUGUUGGUGGGGUAGUGGCUUACCAAGGCUUUGACGGGUAGCCGGCCUGAGAGGGUGACCGGCCACAUUGGGAUUGAGAUACGGCCCAGACUCCUACGGGAGGCAGCAGUGGAGAAUAUUGCACAAUGGGCGGAAGCCUGAUGCAGCAACGCCGCGUGCGGGAUGACGGCCUUCGGGUUGUAAACCGCUUUCGCCUGUGACGAAGCGUGAGUGACGGUAAUGGGUAAAGAAGCACCGGCUAACUACGUG